UCCCAAGUAUUCCUCGUCCGGAGAAUGGUUCGAUAACACAUCCAAAAUAGCCAUCACCGUGGUAGCUUGAAUUUGUGAAGGGAAGCACAGUAGGAGUAAAACUUCAGGUUUAUUCAUGAAAAACUCCCAAUCUCUUUCAGUUGCCUCUUCGGUUGGCAUAUUCUUUCUAGCAAUCGUUGGCCUGCUGGGAAAGUAACCAGCAUAGGUAUAUUGUCCAAAGUUGACAGAUGCAUGAUGACCUGAGGUUACCCAAGCGAUGGUUGUAACAAUUUGGAUCAAGUCUUGUGGU
Molecule: long non-coding RNA, 289 nt
Filed under: Gossypium barbadense (sea-island cotton)
Lineage: Eukaryota; Viridiplantae; Streptophyta; Magnoliopsida; Malvales; Malvaceae
Description: long non-coding RNA (GBAR_LNC003645)
Source: RNAcentral